Long non-coding RNA from Manis javanica (Malayan pangolin), 351 nucleotides. RefSeq lists it as uncharacterized. NCBI's taxonomy places the organism in Eukaryota, Metazoa, Chordata, Mammalia, Pholidota, Manidae. The record is from RefSeq and is a predicted model, not a curated record.
GGGGAGUGACUGAAGCCCGCAGACACCGGGCGCCAGCGAGAGUCAGAAGAGAGCUGAGAAACUCCGUGUUCUGGGUCUAUCGUGAGACUAUUGCCUGACCAGGAGGAAAAAGGGAAAUUUAGGAAUUCCAGAGAAGCCAAGUGAAUUCAACUAUAAUUGGCUAAGCCCAUAAUGCACAGUAACUGAAUUUUGAAAGAGAGAGAAGCCCGAACUCAAGCGACUUCACCUCGAUAGGACAGGUGUCUGCCCUCCAUUAAUGGAAUGACCUCCAAGUACCCUUCAGCUUUCCAGGUCUAAGAAUUUUUUUCAGUGAAUGCCAAAAUCUGAAGUUACCAAAAAGGAAGAAAGAAA